CAAACGCGAAAUGUGUUAUGACAUGCAAUCUUUGAGAAUCAUGAAAUCUUUGAACGCACCUUGUACCCGAGGCGAUUGUCUUGGGUGUGUUUGUUUGAGCAUCGUAUUGACGUCACCGCACACAUGUGGUGGUGGAUUUGAGUGGAUCGAGAAGCUUUGAGCAUCUCGUCACCUGAAAGAGAUACGGGAGGUUAGGGUUAGGCAGGUCUUGGGAUAAUUCCAUCUAGACACAGGCGUAACCCUAGCCCCGUCACACACACACUUACUCGUGAUGGAUCUCAAAUCAAACAGGAUCACCCGCUGAACUUAA
This 310-nucleotide unclassified non-coding RNA is filed under the name uncultured fungus. Its description in RNAcentral is "sequence contains ITS1". The stretch from base 1 to 104 matches the Rfam family "5.8S ribosomal RNA", at positions 50 to 154 of the family's 154-position model. Lineage: Eukaryota; Fungi. The record is from RNAcentral.